This 484-nucleotide ribosomal RNA is filed under the name uncultured bacterium. RNAcentral's name for it is "partial 16S ribosomal RNA". It matches the Rfam family "Bacterial small subunit ribosomal RNA", at positions 30 to 507 of the family's 1533-position model. The record is from RNAcentral.
AUUGAACGCUGGCGGCAGGCCUAACACAUGCAAGUCGAGCGGAUGAAGGGAGCUUGCUCCUGGAUUCAGCGGCGGACGGGUGAGUAAUGCCUAGGAAUCUGCCCGGUAGUGGGGGAUAACGUCCGGAAACGGGCGCUAAUACCGCAUACGUCCUGAGGGAGAAAGUGGGGGAUCUUCGGACCUCACGCUAUCAGAUGAGCCUAGGUCGGAUUAGCCAGUUGGUGGGGUAAAGGCCUACCAAGGCGACGAUCCGUAACUGGUCUGAGAGGAUGAUCAGUCACACUGGAACUGAGACACGGUCCAGACUCCUACGGGAGGCAGCAGUGGGGAAUAUUGGACAAUGGGCGAAAGCCUGAUCCAGCCAUGCCGCGUGUGUGAAGAAGGUCUUCGGAUUGUAAAGCACUUUAAGUUGGGAGGAAGGGCAGUAAGUUAAUACCUUGCUGUUUUGACGUUACCAACAGAAUAAGCACCGGCUAACUUCGUG